AUUGAACGCUGGCGGCAUGCCUUACACAUGCAAGUCGAACGGUAACAGGUCUUCGGAUGCUGACGAGUGGCGAACGGGUGAGUAAUACAUCGGAACGUGCCUAGUAGUGGGGGAUAACUACUCGAAAGAGUGGCUAAUACCGCAUGAGAUCUACGGAUGAAAGCAGGGGAUCGCAAGACCUUGUGCUACUAGAGCGGCCGAUGGCAGAUUAGGUAGUUGGUGGGAUAAAAGCUUACCAAGCCGACGAUCUGUAGCUGGUCUGGGAGGACGAUCAGCCACACUGGGACUGCGACACGGCCCAGACUCCUACGGGGGGCAGCAGUGGGGAAUUUUGGACAAUGGGCGCAAGCCUGAUCCAGCAAUGCCGCGUGCAGGAUGAAGGCCUUCGGGUUGUAAACUGCUUUUGUACGGAACGAAAAGCCCUGGGUUAAUACCCUGGGGUCAUGACGGUACCGUAAGAAUAAGCACCGGCUAACUACGUGCCAGCCGCCGCCGUAA
Molecule: ribosomal RNA, 498 nt
Filed under: uncultured bacterium
Lineage: Bacteria
Description: partial 16S ribosomal RNA
Rfam family: Bacterial small subunit ribosomal RNA
Source: RNAcentral